Molecule: non-coding RNA, 450 nt
Organism: Pelobates cultripes (western spadefoot toad)
Lineage: Eukaryota; Metazoa; Chordata; Amphibia; Anura; Pelobatidae
Source: the annotation of a GenBank genome assembly
CAGUCUCUGUAUUGUACCCAGCUCUGUGUAUUGUAUGGCAGUCUCUGUAUUGUACCAGCUCUGUGUAUUGUAUGGCAGGCUCUGUAUUGUAUCCAGCUCUGUGUAUUGUAUGGCAGUCUCUGUAUUGUACCCAGCUCUGUGUAUUGUACGGCAGGCUCUGUAUUGUAUCCAGCUCUGUGUAUUGUACGGCAGUCUCUGUAUUGUCCCUCCCCCGUUACAUUCCGGAUGUUGUAUAAUUUCAAGGUUCCUUUUCCCUCUGUUUCCCCUCCCCCUUGUGUCGUUGCUUUCUGUCUAUAAGUUAACACAAUACAGUUAGUAGUCAUUUACCUAAUCUAAUUCUCCCCCAGGCUGAUCAACUGUGUGCAGCUAUAGGAGAGUGCCGAGUAUCUGUCUGUAUACGGAGGGAGGAAUUAUCUGCACAACAGUCAGCUAUCGUCAAACAUAACAGGU